Molecule: transfer RNA, 48 nt
Filed under: Gaga marginata
Lineage: Eukaryota; Viridiplantae; Streptophyta; Polypodiopsida; Polypodiales; Pteridaceae
Description: partial tRNA-Gly
Rfam family: tRNA
About the family: Transfer RNA (tRNA) molecules are approximately 80 nucleotides in length.
Source: RNAcentral
CUUUAGCCUUCCAAGCUACUGNUGCGGGUUCGAUUCCCGCUACCCGCU